This is a long non-coding RNA of Drosophila nasuta, 665 nucleotides long. RefSeq lists it as uncharacterized. The record is from RefSeq and is a predicted model, not a curated record. The transcript is spliced from 4 exons. NCBI's taxonomy places the organism in Eukaryota, Metazoa, Arthropoda, Insecta, Diptera, Drosophilidae.
AUUUUAUAGUUGCCAUAGGUUUUUUAAAUACAAUUAAUUAAUGUUUUAAUCAAUUUAAUUUGAAUGGGUCGUUCGAGUUUUCGUCACAAUAACCGGACGGACACUAUAAGCGGCUUCGUUAUAACCGGAUUCUACUGUAUUUCGUCUGCAAAACGAACGCUUCAAGAUUUGCUUGCAGAAUAGAAAAAAAGGGUUUCGGUCUGAGCGCGAGCGAUCUUAUUCAAGAACCCAUAAAACGGUUGCUCUCUGAGUCUUUUCGUAAAGUGUCAGAGAGAGACACUUAUUUGCGGACAACGAGAAACGGUCGACAGUUAUUUGCAAGCUCUGAUGAUGAUGAAAUUAUUGCAAGCAUUUGAGCUGAGAAGUGCAAAGCGGAUCCGCGAUCAAUUAUUAGAUAAUAAAAGAAUAUCAAGCAGUUAGUAUAAUGCAUAGUUCUACAGUGGAAAGCGACAAUGUGCCCAAAGAAGAGGAAUUGGAAAUUAUGACAGAAAAUCUACGUUAUGGAAAUAAUGACAGGGGAAUGCGAAAAAAAGAAGACAAUUUCUUUGUUGUUAUGAUCGAUUCAAUAACUGAGAACCAGUUGAGAAACCUUGCAGCUCCAAAAAAACGAUAUUUUAAAACUCAAGUUGCCUUAAAGUAAUAAAAGUAUCCGACUUAUUAAAAUA